RNAcentral lists this ribosomal RNA (439 nucleotides) under uncultured Tissierella sp. Its description in RNAcentral is "bacterial SSU rRNA". It matches the Rfam family "Bacterial small subunit ribosomal RNA", at positions 338 to 795 of the family's 1533-position model. The record is from RNAcentral. Lineage: Bacteria; Bacillati; Bacillota; Tissierellia; Tissierellales; Tissierellaceae.
CCUACGGGGGGCUGCAGUGGGGAAUAUUGCACAAUGGAGGAAACUCUGAUGCAGCGACGCCGCGUGAAUGAUGAAGGCCUUCGGGUCGUAAAAUUCUGUCCUUGGGGAAGAUAAUGACGGUACCCAAGGAGGAAGCCCCGGCUAACUACGUGCCAGCAGCCGCGGUAAUACGUAGGGGGCAAGCGUUGUCCGGAAUUAUUGGGCGUAAAGGGUUCGCAGGCGGUCUGAUAAGUCAGAUGUGAAAGACUAUGGCUUAACCAUGGUAAGCAUUUGAAACUGUCAGACUUGAGUUAAGGAGAGGAAAGUGGAAUUCCUAGUGUAGCGGUGAAAUGCGUAGAUAUUAGGAGGAAUACCAGUGGCGAAGGCGACUUUCUGGACUUAUACUGACGCUGAGGAACGAAAGCGUGGGGAGCAAACAGGAUUAGAUACCCGAGUAGUC